CAAUAGCGUAUAUUAAAGUUGUUGCGGUUAAAAAGCUCGUAGUUGGAUUUCUGCCGAGGACGACCGGUCCGCCCUGUGGGUGAGCAUCUGGAUCGGCCUGGGCAUCUUCUUGGGGAACGUAGCUGCACUUGACUGUGUGGUGCGGUAUCCAGGACUUUUACCUUGAGGAAAUUAGAGUGUUUCAAGCAGGCGAUCGCUUGAAUACAUUAGCAUGGAAUAAUAGAAUAGGACUUUGGUUCUAUUUUGUUGGUUUCUAGGACCGAAGUAAUGAUUAAUAGGGACAGGUUGGGGGCAGUUAGUAUUUAAUUGUCAGAGGUGAAAUUCUUGGAUUUAUGAAAGACUAACUACUGCGAAAGCAUUUGCCAAGGAUGUUUUCUAUUAAUCAAGAACGAAAGUUAGGGGAUCGAAGAUGAUUAGAUACCAU
This 424-nucleotide ribosomal RNA is filed under the name uncultured eukaryote. RNAcentral describes it as "bacterial SSU rRNA". It matches the Rfam family "Eukaryotic small subunit ribosomal RNA", at positions 592 to 1018 of the family's 1831-position model. The record is from RNAcentral.